Molecule: ribosomal RNA, 292 nt
Filed under: uncultured bacterium
Lineage: Bacteria
Description: partial 16S ribosomal RNA
Rfam family: Bacterial small subunit ribosomal RNA
Source: RNAcentral
GUGUCAGCAGCCGCGGUAAAACGUAGGAGACAAACGUUAUCCGGAGUUACUGGGCGUAAAGGGCGUGUAGGUGGUUGCGUAAGUCUGGCGUGAAAUAUCUCGGCUUAACCGAGGCAGGUCGUCGGAUACUGCGUAACUGGAGGACGGUAGAGGCGUGUGGAAUUCCGGGUGUAGUGGUGAAAUGCGUAGAGAUCCGGAGGAACACCAGUGGCGAAGGCGACACGCUGGGCCGUACCUGACACUGAUGCGCGACAGCAUGGGGAGCAAACAGGAUUAGAUACCCCGGUAGUCC